AAAAAAAAAAAAAAAAAAAAAAAAAAAAAAAAAAAAAAAAAAAAAAAAAAAAAAAAAAAAAAAACUUCUCUCUCUCUCUGCUUACUAUCUACGGUGAGGUACUGCGUAUGCCGUAGCCUCCAGGAUAUGGCCACGUGUACUCAAAGAUUCGUGCUGCUGAUGUGAUUCGGUCAACCAUUUUAGUUGGGAAGGUUGAGACAUGUGAGGUCGACAUACAACUGCGCGAAGCUUCUAAAGGCUAAAAAGCGCAAAGGUCCAACUUUGACUCGCAAACUAGGCUUUAAAAUUUGACCGAGGAUUAUAACUUUUCCCACAAGUAUAUAUUUAUAUAUAAAAAGUAUUUAUUUGUGGUACCGACUCAAAAGUUUAAUUCCUUCAAUUUGUUAAUUGGUUCACACCAAACAAAUUUUACCUCUCAAUUAUCGCGUGUGUCACAAUUGCUAGCUAUAUAAAAAAAUAUUUAAGAUUAUUUUUGCUUUUAAUCUAGUUUUCUAAAUUUGAAAACUCGAAAGUUUCUCCUAAUUCAAUAUUAAAUGUUCUAAAAUAAAUAAGAAUUCGAACCGAACUGAGUAACUAAAUACUACUUCGAUUUUUCAAAUUAUUAAAGGUUUCGAUGUGGCGUUCUUAUUAAUUUGGUUUGUAGCAAUAACCGCUCGUCAUCAUUUAAAUUAUAAGCUAAGGUAUCGUUUGGCUCGGUAAUAAGCAAAAAGUGGGUAUUCCAGAAAUAGGUAUAAAUUGAGGUAUAAGCGGGGAUUAGAUCAAUUUUGCGUUUGGAUGAAAAUUGAGUUAUUUCUAGGAAUAAGAAAAAUAACGUUUGGUAAGGUAAGAUGGAAUAAGAUUGAAAGUGGGUAGUUAUAAAUAAAAAUUAAUAAUAUUAUCACUUUUUUAUUUAUAUUAGAAUUUAAAUUUUUAUAUUUUAUAUUUAUAUUUUAAAAUUUAAAAUUUUAACUUUUAAAUUUCAAAUUUUGAAAUUAAAAUUUAAAAUUUAAAAUCUCAAAUUUUAAAUUCAAAAUUUAAAUUUUAAAUUUCUAACUUUAAAUUUAAGAUCAAAUUUAAAUUUGAAAAAAAAUAAAAUUCAAAUUUAAAAUUUCAAAAAUUUAAAAUUUCAAAAUUUAAAUUUAAAAUUUAAAAUGUGGAAUUUAAAAUUAUAAACUUUAAUUUUGAGAUUACAAAUUUUAAAUUUUAAAUAUAAUUUAUUAUAAUAUUUUAAAUUUUAAAUUUAUUUAAAUUUUAAAUUUUAAUUUAUUUUAAUAUUUAAAUAUAAUUUGUUAUAAAAUUUAUUAUAAUAUUUAAAUAUAAAUAAUAUGUAUUAAUAUAGUACAAUUAAUAAUUUAAUAAUAAAAAUAAUGUAUUAUAAUAUAUAAUAUAUUAUAUUUAUAUAAUUUAGUUUUAAUUUAUUUUUUAAUUUUAAUUAAGUUUGAAAUUAAGCAUGGGAAUAGCACUAUUCCAUCAAAAUGAUGGAAUAGUAAAAAGCUUGCUAUUCCGGGAUAACUGGGAAUAGCAAGCUUUGACCGGGAUAAAAUAUCCCGGUAAAAAAUGAUCCCGUUUGGCGGAAUAGCGGGGAUAACUUUCGUUAUCCCCGCUUAUCCCCCGAACCAAACGGGGCCUAAGAGUAUAGAUUUCUUUAUACUUAUGUGAAAAGAAUGUGCAGCUAGGAUGAUAGUGAUUCUCCAAAGUUGAGUGGAUGGAUGAAUAAAUAGUAUAAUCUAAUGGAUGGAAACGAUCAAAUGAGCCGAAAAUUUAUGAGUAUAAAAAAAAUCUAUAUUUAUGAAAAUAUAGUAGUCGAACUAUAUAUAUAUAUAUAUAGAGCAGGGCUGCUGUGCUCUUAGGAGAACGGAGGCUUCCGUGCUCCUGAGCUGUUUUCGAUGAUGAAAUUUUCGAAUCGACGAUCGGCUCCGUUAGACUUGAUCUAGCCUAUUUGAAGUUUAUAGAAAAUAAUUUUUGCAAUUUUUUGACAUCAUUUAAUUACCUAGUGAUCGAAAGGAUUCAAAAUUCAUAAUUUUUAAUGGUUGAUAUCUGCCGUUUUCAAAUUUAACGAUGUAGAAGUAUUCAAAUCAGAUAAAAUUUUGAUACAAAAUUCUUUAUACUAUAUACAACAAGAUCAAUAUUUCUGAUCGAAAAUUUUAGUGAUAUAUCACUACUUUUUAUAGAAUUUUUAUUUUCAGCUGUUAAAAAUUAUUGAUUUUAAAUCAUUUCGAUUGCUAGGUAAAUAAUAUCGAAAAAUCACAAAAAUUAUUUUUCAGAAACUUUAAAUACGCUCUAUAUAUAUAUAUAUAUUCUGAACAAAAAAAAGUUAGCACAACGUAAGUGGCUACAUACAUGUGACGUUCACAAUAUUCCAGAUUCAAUCUAAGAAUAAAUUUUCUUUCUCAUGCACUUCUCUAAAUAUGAAUUAUUUAAUUAAUAAGAGUCCAUCCCAACAUAUACAAUAUGUCAACACCUACCGUAUGGGACUUCACACACAUGUGAAAGAGGGAAUAAAUAAACGCUAGAGGAGACGCGGCCACCCACGUAGUAGUUAGCUAGGUAUUGAUCGAGUCAUUAUUAUAAUCACAUUACCGCGUUUGUAGAGACUCGGAUCGUGCUUGGAACAGUGGACAAAUUAGACCAAGUCCAAAUCCAAAUUGAACCAUGCACGUUUCCCUCGCCUAUCUACUAUCUAUAUAAAGCCUCCCUCUAACCCUCAUCUCUUCAUCAAAUUCAUUUGCUCCCUUAAUUACCACUACUUCUAUUCUAAUACUUCACCUUUGAUUAAUUUGCUUAAUUAAGGUGAACUAAGCUUAGCAGCCUUAGAAAUGGCUUCUUCCUACACAUCUCUAGCUUUGGGUGCUCUUCUUCUCAUGAGCUGCGUCUCAUGGGGCUCGGCCGCCACCUACACCGUCGGCGAUUCCCAGGGUUGGGGCUUUAACGUCAACUACUCAACUUGGGCUAGCAACAAGAAGUUCGUCGUGGGCGACAAACUUGGUUAGUUCUCCGAACCACCUAAAUUAUCAAAUACAGUAAUUCAAUCUCUUUUUGUUAAUUCGUAUUUGUUAAUGCCUUACUGAAGUAUGACUUGAACUCGAGACCUAUUAUUUAGUAAUGUACAUGUUUGCUGAUACUGUUGUAUUUGCAAAUACAGUUUUCAACUAUCAAACCGGCCAACACACGGUCGCGGAGGUGAGCUCGAGCGACUACAACUCGUGCUCGACCAGCAACCCCAUCAGCACCAACACCAAUGGGCCCACCACCAUCACCCUCGCCACCGCGGGGUCCCACUACUACAUCUGCACCAUCCAGAGCCACUGCUCCGCCGGCAUGAAGCUUGCCGUCAACGUCGCCGCCUCCUCAUCCUCCUCUCCAUCCACACCGCCACCGAAGUCGUCAUCCCCCGCCCCGCCCGCCACCCCUACGACACCCUCCACGCCGACAACACCCUCCACUCCGACCGCAGCCGCUCCCUCCACCCCGACUGCCUCCGCGCCAACCAACCACCAAUCCGGAGCUGCCUCUGACCUCGUGCCGACCUUAUCGGCUGUGGCGGCGAUCGCCGGGCUCGUGGCGAUGAUCUUCUAAGCCCGGCCAGGGUGGAGACAGUGCCAUUGUACACUCUCUCUCUCUCUCUCUCUAGAUCUCCCUUUUUGGAGACAUUAUUCUUUUUGUUGUAUCUUAGGUGGUGAUUAGAUCGUUUUACGGGGUAUACGUUGAUUUCGUUACGAGGGUUGAUUACCAGGUGUACGUAAUUUUACGGCUUCAGAUAUUUUGUGCGCGUGGAGUGUGUUCACAUUUGUAUCUUGAGAUUCAUUACAUUUACUGAUUCAAUAAAGGACAUUACUUUGUACCAACCCUUUCACGUACUUUUGCUUUUCCUUUUUCUUUUUAAGACAAAAAAAAGGUUUAGACUAAAUUUAAACCGAUGUCAUGGAUGACGCAAUUUUAUUUUAAAUGAAGAUCGGUUUUGGGUUGAAAGACUACACUUCCAAAAAUUUUCAAGUCGAUUUUAUACUUGACUGCUGCGCUUUAUUUUAUUUUAUUUUGAGAAAAAGAUAGCAGAUUAUCUGUUUUGUUCAUAAGAAGAAUGAACUAAAUAUCUGAUAUUAGAGAUGAAAAAAUAAAUCUAGAUCAAAAAAAUAAAAAAUAAAAAAAAAUUACAGAAGUAACACUGAAAAGUUAAGAAAUUAUGAAAAAAAUCAUUUGGGUGAGAGAGAUUUCUUUCGACUGGAUCUCCAACCGCUUGAUCUUAUUUUUUGUUGGGCUUUAUUUAAGAUUGCAAAAAAAUUACAAUAAAUAUAAAAAAGUAUGACAAAAACAUAUUUUAUUUAAGUUUAUAUAUAUAUUUUCGUGUUUUGUAUAUUAUAACAAAUUGAUAUAUCAGAAAAUGCAGAAAUUUAUAUCAGUUGAGUCAUGCUGCGUGUCUAAGAUGAGUUGACAGUUGGGUUAGGUUUGACAGGUGGGUUUUGACUAGAUUUACGAGUUGAGUUGCACUGAAUUUAGUUGAUGGGUAAUGUUCGGUCAAAUUAAUAAUAUUUUUUUAAGAAAAAAAUAAUAAGCUAUUGAUUUUGUUUUUUUAAUCAAAAUAAAUUUAGUUAGAAAUGUAAAAUAAUUAGAUUUCUAAUUUGGGGCCAUGAAUACUAAUCAUCAACCUUUUUGACACUUGUGUUAAAAAUAAUCAGUUAAACUAAUAAUUUGUUAGAUUAAUAUAUAUAUAGAAAGAGAGAGAGCGUAAGACUACUGUACUAAUAGAAGCACAGCAGUGCUUAUACUUCUAAGUUUGUAACUAUUCAGCAAUUUUGAUGGGUGAUUAGAGUUAAUAUCUCAAUUCUCUCUUAGGUUUUUUUUCUCUCUUACUCUUAUCACCCAUCUUUUUAUAGUUAUCAACUUAGAAGUAUAAGUACUCCUUUACUCCUAAUAGCGUUAUAAUGCUAUUAUAUAUCUAUAUCUAUAUAAUAUAUAUAUAUAUAUAUAUAUAUAUAUAUAAUAUAUAUAUAUAUAGAGUCUGCUAACUAUACUUUUAUGAGUAUAGAGUCUCUUGUAUUCAUAAAUUUUUAGCCGUUUGAUCCACCCUUUAAUCCAUUUUACCCGUUAGAUUAAUACUAUUCAACCAACCACUCACCAACCCCUAGCCAGCCCACUAUCAACCUAAACUGUAAUCAUUCUCAUCCUAACCACAUAUUUUUUCAUCUGAACAGCUAAAAACCUUAUGAGUAUAAGAGGCUAUAUACUCCAUAAGAGUAUAGUAGCCCCAGCUAUAUAUAUAUAUAUAUAUAUAUAUAUAUAUAUAUAUAUAGUGGCGGCUAGAUGCUUAUGGAAGCACGGAGGGCUUCCGUGCUUCCACUUUGAUUUCGAUGUUCGGACAUUUGAGAUCGACGAUCGCUCCGUUAGACUUGAUCUAGAGUAUUGAAAAGUAUCUAGAAAAUUAAGUUUGCAAUUUUUCGAUAUCAUUUGCUAGUGAUCAAAGUGCUCAAAAUCAACCGCAUGAAAAUAAGAAUCUUACAAAAAUAAUGAUGAUAUGACAUUAAAAUUUUAGAUCAAAGUUAUUGAUCUUGUUUUAUAUGUAUAAAGAAUUUUCUAUCAAAAUUCCAUGCAUUUUGGAUUUUUCUACAUCACCGUUAACUUGCAACCUGCUCACCAACGGCCGUUAAAUAUUGAUUUUGAGCCCCUUCGAUCACUAAGCAAAUGAUAUCGAAAAAUCGCAAAAUUUAUUUUCUAGGUACUUCAAAUACUCUAGAUCAACUCUAACGGAGCCGAUCGUCGCUUCGAAAGUCCAAACAUCGAAAACAGAGUGGAACACAAGCAGGGCUCCAUGCUUCCUUAAGCAUACCAGCCCCAUAUAAUAUAUAUUUAUUAUAUAUAAUAUAUAUAUAUAUAUAUAUAUAUAUAUAUAUAUAUAUAUAUAUAUAUAUAUAUAUGAGUAGGGCUAGAUACUUUGUAAAAGUACUCAUGGGGGUGAUACUUGUGUGUUUUUAGCCCUUGAUGGAGAGAUUGUGAGGUUGAAGAUGACGGUGGUUAGUGUGGUAAGUGCAAUAGUGUUUAAUCCAAGGGCUAUUAAUAAUCAAAAAGUAGAUCCAAUGACUUAAAACCUAAUAGCACCAUGAUGGUGAUACUUGUAAAAGUAUCAUAGCUCAACUCUAUAUAUAUAUAUAUAUAUAUAUAUAUAUAUAUAUAGUGAGACUACUAUACUUCUGGAAGCACUGAGCCUUUCGUGCUUCCAGGUCGUUUUCCAUGUUGCGACUUUCGAAUCAUCGAUCGGCUCCGUUAAAUUUAAUCUAAAGUAUUUGAAGUACCUAUAAAAUAAAUUAUAUGAUUUUUUGAUAUUAUUUGCCUAGUGAACGAAGGGGCUCAAAAUUAACAGCUGAAAAUAAAAAUCUUACAAAACGUGAUAAUAUGACAUUAAAAUUUUAGAUCAAAUAUAUUGAUCUUGUUUUAUAUACUAUAAAGAAUUUUCUAUCAAAAUUUCACGUGAUUUGGAUAUUUCUACACUGUUAAACUUGCAAACGGCUCAUUAUGACCGUUAAAAUUAUUGAUUUUGAGCCCCUUCGAUCACUAGGCAAAUGAUAUCGAAAACUUAUAAAAUUUAUUUUCUAGGUACUUCAAAUACUCUAGAUCAAGUUUAAUGGAGCCGAUCGACGAUUCGAAAAUCGCAACAUGAAAAACGACCUCGAAGCACGGAAGGCUCCGUGCUUCCAGAAGCAUAGUAACCAAAUGGGCUCCUUUGCCACCCAUUUGUUUUCGAUGAUGGAGUCUCCAAAUCGACGAUCAGCAUCGUUGAACAUGAUCUAUAUCACUUAAAGUGUUUAGAAAUCAAAUUUCAUAUAUUUUCAAUAUUAUUCUUUUAUCCAUCGAGUGGACACAAAAAUGAACGGCUGAAAAUAAAUAUUCUUUAAAAAAUAAUGAUAGGAGUCUUGUAAUGAAGAUCAAGAGUAUAGAUCUUGUUUUAAAUUAUUUAAAGAAUUUUCUAACAAAAAUUCAAUUGAUUUGAAUAUCUUUACGCCGUUAAACGAGAAAACGCCUCAUAUCGACCAUUAAAAUUACAAAUUUUGAAACCCUUUGAUCAUUAGACAAAUGAUGUCGAAAAGAUAUGAAAUUUGAUUUCUAAACACUUCAAGUGGUAUAGAUCAUGUUCAAUGAUGUCGAUUGUCGAUUUGGAGGCUCUAACAUCGAAAAUAAAUAGGUGGCAACGGAGCCUAUUUGCUAUCGAUAGUAUUUUAGCUCAACUCUCUCUCUCUCUCUCUAUAUUUAUAUAUAUAGUAUAAACUAAAUUUUAUUAUCAGAUGAUUCCAAAGAAAAAGAUGAUUCCAAAGAAUAAAAAUUUUUAGAAGACCAAAGAAGUUAUAAAACCGAAUCGACUUAGAAUCUGCUAAACCUUCACAUCAAAAAUUUCGAAUGAAUUUUUAAUUAACACAUAUGAUAUGAUAAAUGUUAUGAUGUGAAAUCAAGUUGUAUAAUCGUAUAAAUAUAAAAAAUAUAAAUAUUGUCAUUAAAUUUUUUUUUAAGAAAUAGAUAAUAUGUUAUCCAUUUCGUUUAUUUCAUUUAAAAAUAAAUUUAAUUGAAAAUAUGAAUCAUCUAAAAUUUAAAUUUGAAAUUUCGAGAUACCAAUCAUCAAAUUCUUUACUACUUGCUUGAUUGGUAAUAUAUUGCCAUUAAUUAGUGCCCAAAAAAUUCCAAUUGGGAGGUUGGGAGAGAGGCGGCGUGUUUGGUGGCUAAGUGCCAAGUGGCAACCAACCCAAGAAAAAAGUAACUAAAAACUUUCCUCAAAACAUCUCGUGGACACGUUUCCUAACUAAAAGGCAAUCGCAUUCACAAUUAAAAAAAUGGGAUAAUUACUUAUAUAUUCCUCGUGCGUCUGAAAAUAUUCGAUAUACUCUUUUUUUUUUUCUUUCUAAAAUGCCCCUCAUAUGUUCCACCAUUAUUAUAAAAUACCCCCACAGUUAUCUCCUGUUAAGUUAACCUGAGUUAAACGUGAGUUAAAUAUCUAUCACAGUUAAAAAAAAUUAAAAUGCCAAUUUUGCCUUUAACUUAAGGGCAAAUAAGAAAGAUUGGUUACGGUAGAGGGAUAUAUUGGAAAAAAUAAAAAGUUGAAAUACUUUUUGUACCCCUAACUUUAAGAGCAAAUAAGAAAGACAAUGAUGGUGGAAUGGUAUAUUUGAAAAGGGCAAAAGAGUAAUUUUAUAGAGAUAACAGUGUUACUUAAUAGAUUUUAACUCUAAAGGUAUAUUAGAAAUAGGUUGGAACGUAGGAGGGGUAUUUUCAAUAUUAGCCUUCUAAGAGGGGUAAAUCGAAAAAUCGGAAACUUUUCAGAGGUAUAUAAGAAAUUGCCCCUUAAAAAAUUUUCGGAUUCGUGUCGCUUACGUAUAUACCGAAUGAUAAACAAAAUGAUCUUAGUAUAAAAACUGUUACGUGUGUAUUUCUAUUUUUCAUUAAAAAAUUUCGUAAAAAGUGAAUAAAUAUAGGAAAGAGGGGAAAAAACAAAAAAUAAAAAAGAGAGCCUUCUAUUAUUGACCGAAAGUUUAAAUAAAUAUAAGUUAUUAUUUCUUUGAACAAAUUUGAUCCGAUUAAAAAAGUUCACACUAGGAUGGUAAAAAUAGUUUUUAUUAUAAUUAAAAUAAUUAUUCCCAAAUGAGAUUAUUAACAAACUAAUGUUAUUAAUUAGUUUUAAGUUGUUCGUUAGAUAUAUCCUUGCACAUUGUUAUACGUGUUAAAAUUUUCCUUUAUAUUCAUGGGCGAACUAGGUUUUGAUAUUAUAUGAAACGAUUCAAACAAAUUCGAAAGUUUAAGCGGAUACAUAGAAGUAUUCUUACACAUGAUAUGCAUCAGGUUGAGAUUAACUUGGUACAUCGCGAUCAUGGUGCCAUUUGAACAAAAAAUUGAUGAGGAUGGUCCCUAACAUAAGGUUGUCUCAAUUACCAUUAUUUAUCACAUAGAUGACACGCAUCUUAAAUCUUCUUAAACGGUAGUUAGACACUGACCUUAUUAUUUUUCUUUUUCUCUUUUGAGAUAGUUUAGACUCAAUUGCAUGCUAUAUGAAUGUGAGGUCCACAUGCAUACAUACAUGCACUUGAGGUCCACACAUCAUUUUCAAAUGUGACAAUAUUGUAAGCAUUUGACUGAUGCGUAUUUUCCAGGGCACACUAUGAUUUGAUUAAUGUACGCUCCAUUCCUACAUAACAUGUCAACACCAACCAUAUGAGGAGGUCAAAAACACAUGUUGAACAUAAAGCUCGGAGGAAACGAGCAGGCAUUUCCUACACCCGGUGUAUCCAUAUAUCUCAAACAUUUGUGAUCAAUAUUUAUAAUGUAUGGGCAUUUCAAGUAUUUUCCAUAAAAAGUUAUAUAAAAAUUUGAAUAAUCUAUAACAUCAGAAUUAAGGACAGAAAAAUCAAGUUAUAUACAUAUAUAGAGUUGAGCUGGAAUGCUUUUUUUUUUUUUUUUUUGAGAAAGAGUUGAGCUGGAAUGCUAUCGGUAGCAAAUCAGGUCCGUUGCCACCUAUUUGUUUUCGAUGAUAGAGCCUUCAAAUUGACGAUCGGCACCAUUGAACAUAAUCUAUACCACUUGAAGUAUUUUGAAACCAAAUUUUAAAUAUUUUCGACAUUAUUGACCUAAUGAUCAAAGGGUUUCAAAAUUUAUAAUUUUAAUGGUAGAUAUGAGGCGUUUUCUCGUUUAACGGUGUAAACCUAUCUAAAUCAAUUGAAUUUUGGUUAGAAAAUUUUUUAAACUAUUUAGAAUAAGAUCUAUACUCUUGAUCUUGAUUACAAAAUUCCUAUAAUCACUUUUUCGAGAAUAUUCAUUUUCAGCCGCUCAAUUUUAUGCCCACUUGAUGGACAAAAGAACAAUAUCAGAAAAGCAUGAAAUUUGAUUUCUAGAUACUUCAAGUAGUAUAGAUCAUAUUCAAUGAUGUCGAUCGUCAAUUUGGAGGCUCCAUCAUCGAAAAUAAAUGGGUGACAACGGAGCCCGUUUACUAUCGAUAGUAUUCUAGCUCAACUCUAUAUAUAUAUAUAUAGAGAGAGAGAGAGAGAGAGAGAGUGGGGCUACUAUACUCUUAUGAGUAUUGGGCCCUUCAUACUCAUAACUUGUUUUCGAUGAUGGGGCUUUCGAAUCGACGAUCCACUCCAUUAAAUAUGAUCUAAAGAACGCAUUUAAACUACCUAGAAAUCAAAUUUCACGCACUUUCGAUAUUGUUCUUUAUCCAUCAAAGUGAACAAAGAAUGAAUGGCUGAAAAUAAAUAUUCUUUAAAAAAUGAUGAUAGGAGUCUUAUAAUCAAGAUCAAGAGUAUAGAUUCUUGUUUUAAAUAGUUUAAAGAAGUUUCUAACAAAAAUUCAAUUGAUUUUGAUAUGUUUAUGCCGUUAAACGAGAAAACGCCUCUUAUCGACCAUUAAAAUUACAAAUUUGAAAUCCUUUGUCAUUAGGCAAAUGAUGUCGAAAAGAUUUGAAAUUUUGAUUUCUUAAGCACUUCAAGUGGUAUUAGAUCAUGUUCAACGGAGCCGAUCGUCAUUUGGAAGUUCUAUCAUCGAAAAACAAAUAGGUAGUAAAACGGCUCGUUUACUACUGAUAUAGAAUUCUUAGAGCAAAACUCUAUAUAUAUAUUAUAUAUAUAUAUAUAUAUUAUAUAUAUAUAUAAUAUAUAUAUAUAUAGUAGUAUAUAAGUUGAGGCUACUAUGCUUCUGGAAGCACGGAGCCUUCCGUGCUUCCAGAUCGUUUUCGAUGUUGCGACUUUCGAAUCGUCGAUCGGCUCCGUUAAACUUGAUCUAGAGUAUUUGAAGUACCUAGAAAAUAAAUUUUGUAAUUUUUCGAUAUCAUUUGCCUAGUGAACUAAGGGGCUCAAAAUCAACGGCUGAAAAUAAAAAUCUUACAAAAUAUGAUAAUAUGACAUUAAAAUUUUAGAUCAAAGAUAUUGAUCUGUUUUAUACAGUAUGAAGAAUUUUCUAUCAAAAUUUUACGUGAUUUGGAUAUUUCUACACCGUUAAACUUGCAAACGGCUCAUCAUGACCAUUAAAAUUAUUGAUUUUGAGUCCCUUCGAUCAUUAGGUAAAUGAUAUCGAAAAAUCAUAAAAUUUAUUUUCUAAGUACUUCAAAUACUCUAGAUCAAGUUUAACUGAGCCGAUCGACGAUUCGAAAGUCGCAACAUCGAAAACGAUCUGGAAGCACGGAAGGCUCCGUGCUUCCAGAAGCAUAGUAGCCUCACUAUAUAUAUAUAUAUAUAUAUAUAUAUAGAUUCUUUGGAUAUGUAGAACAUGUACAUCCACUAAAUUAAAAUUUGAUUCUUAAGCUUUUACGAUUGAGUUUGAAAAUAAAUGUCAUGGAACGUUACACAUUCACCAAAUUAAAUUAAAAUUUAAUUAUGAAGCCUUCGUGUAUAUAUAUAGACCGCCUGAAUGUGGUAGAACACACGAUACACAGGAUAAAAAUUUGGUGGGUCUCGUCUCCUACACAAUAUCGUCCUCAAACAAUUUUGUUUGGGGACGAUUCUGAUGGCCGCCGCGUGGUGUGCGGCGCCUAUCGUGACCCUCGGAAAAAAAAAGAAAAAAAUUGCGGGUUCCGGUUUUUAGAAAGAGAGAGAGAGAGAGGAGAAAGGCGCGGUGGUGAUGGGGCCCAUCUGGCUCCGUGCCCAAAUAAAUUGUUUGGGCACGGAUGCCCAGCAAAUUUUUGUCCCUAUGCACAAGGUGCAUGCAAUUAAUAAUUUUUCAAAGAAAAGAAACUCUGUAAUAAAUGAUCCACUUCAUCUUGCCAUGUUAAAGUAUAUGAGGUGACUGUUGUUAUUUAAAAUCUAAGCUAUCAACAAUGGGUAUUUUUAGAUUUUAUAUUCAAAAAGGAGGACUUAAAUAAAAUUAGAAAAAAUUAAUUAUGUCAGGAGUCGAGGAUUUUAAGUUUUAAUACCAUAUUAUUUCUAAAAAACUAAAAAAUUAUAAGAGAACGCUAUUUUUAUAUUAUAUAUUCAACAGUUGUAUAAAAAUAUAAGAGUAAAAUUAUUUCAUAUUAUUUUAAUUUGACGAAGUUGAUCAAUAAUUAUAAAUAUAGUAUAAAUGAUGCGUAAUGGGGAGAAGACUCUCUCUCAUUAGAGAGGCGGCCACCCACGCAGUAGGCAUUGAUCGAGUCAUUUUCGAAAGGACAUAACGGCGUAUUUAGAGACUUUUAUAGAGCUUGGAAUAGUACGACGAUUUAUAUAUAUGGACCAAGUCCAAAUUGAGCCAUGCACCUUUCCCUAGCCUAUCUAGCUACUUCCUAUAUAAACCCUCCCUCCAACUCUCAUCUCUUCAUCAAAUUCAUUUACUCUCUUACCACAACUUCUAUUCUAAUACUUCACCUUUGAUUAAUUUGCUUAAUUGAAGUGAACUAAGCUUUAGUUAAGCUAAGUAGUCUUGAAAAUGGCUUCAUCCUACACAUCUCUAGCUUUGGGUGCUCUUCUUCUCAUGAGCUGCGUCUCAUGGGGCUCGGCCGCCACCUACACCGUCGGCGAUUCCCAAGGUUGGGGCUUUGGCGUCAACUACUCAACUUGGGCUAGCGACAAGAAGUUCGUCGUGGGUGACCAACUUGGUUAGUUCUCCGAACCAUCUGAAUUAUCCAAUACAGUAAUUUAAUGAAGUAUGACUUGAACUGGAGACCUAUUAUUUGGUAACGUAAACGUUUGUUAAUGCUGUUGUAUCUGCAAAUACAGUUUUCAACUACCAAACCAACCAACACACGGUCGCGGAGGUGAGCUCGAGCAACUACAACUCGUGCUCGACCAGCAACCCCAUCAGCACCAACACCAAUGGGCCCACCACCAUCACCCUCGCCACCGCGGGGUCCCACUACUACAUCUGCACCAUCCAGGGCCACUGCUCCGACGGCAUGAAGCUCGCCGUCAACGUCGCCGCCUCCUCUCCUUCCACACCGACAUCCCCGACGACACCCUCCACGCCGACCGCGCCCUCUCCCUCCACCCCGACGGUCCCUGCGCCGCCCUCCAACAGCAGCUCCGGAGCCGCCGCAGGCCUCGUGCCGACCUUAUCGGCGGUGGCGGCGAUCACCGGGCUCUUGGCGACGCUCUUCUAAUCCCGGCCAGGGUGGAGACAGUGCUAUAGCUAGCUAGCCGUUACAUUAAAUCUCUAGCCCUUUUGAGACAUUGAUUUUUUAUUCGAUCAUUCUAGGUGCUUUAGUUUGAUUAGUAUAAACAGCUUCAUUAUACACUUAGAGUGUGUGGAUUGGGAUGUUAUUUGUCAUGACGUUUGUAUAACUAAAUAAAGGAGAUAUUCGUACUAUUUAUUUUCAUAUUUUGUUCAAUUGAAAGAGCUACUGAUCAAAGAAUAUACUUUUCUUGGUACGCUAAUAAAACACUAAUAAUCAAUAUAAAUAUAAAUUUAAUUUACACAUAUGAACCAACACAAGAAGAUGCGUAAGGCAUUUUUCGAUCUGGUUGGAAAAAAGAGAGCCCGGGUGUGGAUUUGGUGGGGGUGACGGAGUCGUUUUGACAAAACCUUUGUGUUUGCAUGCUUUUUGACUAAGUUAUUGGAGAUUAGGUAUAUGAUGUGAGAUGAUCCCAGAAAAAAAAAAAAAAAAAAAAAAAAAAAAAAAAAAAAAAAAAAAAAAAANAAAACUAGUAAAGAGUAAUUGGUUGUUACUCAGGAAGGUUAUUCUUAAGGUCCGAAGGUUCGAAAGUAAUUCGCCUUUUGCCUUUAUUUCUACUUUUAUUUUUAGGAGCAAUUAAUUUUAAUAGAAUGUUUAGCAAACAACAAUAUUUGAAGCCCCCAAGAUAGAAUCUCCAAUUAAUUUGGUGUUUUUAUUUUUAUUGCAAUAAGAAUUUGUGAGGGAGAUUAAGUAAUAUAAUAAUACUUCCUCUAAAUUCAAAUGUCGCGUUUGAAAUAGUACAAUUCCUAGAAAAACAAUCCAUUUGAAUGUGACUUGAGAGGAAUACUAAAUAGAAUAAAACAAUACAUGGUAUAGCACUCAUUUCCUUAAAAUGAACAAUUAAUCCUUGUAAAUUAAGUUGCAUUUUAAUGGGCACCCAAGUCCUAAUUUGACUAAAAUUAGAUUCACCUUUCUCGCCUACUAACAGCGUUACAUAUCAAUUUUUUUUGGGAAAACUUAAAAAACCCCCCCUGUGGUUUCAUGCAUUCUCACUUUCAUACCCUGUGGUUUAAAACGUAUCAAUUUGCCCCCCUGUGGUUUCAUUUUUCUCUUUUUGUUAUCAAUUUUAUUAUUUUUUUUUUCUUAAAUCAGUGACAAAAUUAAAAUUAAAGGAUACUAAAGUGAAUAUUCGAUAAACAUAGAUGGUUAUCUGAAGUUUUUUGUAUAUAAUUUAACGAAAUAUUAACGAAAAAGCUUCUGAAAAGAUAAAAACGAAACCACAGGGGGGCAAAUUGAUACGUUUUAAACCACAGGGUACUAAAGUGAGAAUGCAUGAAACCACAGGGGGGGUUUUUUAAGUUUUCCCAAAAAAAAUUGAUAUGUAACGCUGUUAGUAGGCGAGAAAGGUGAAUCUAAUUUUAGUCAAAUUAGGACUUGGGUGCCCAUUAAAAUGCAACUUAAUUUACAAGGAUUAAUUGUUCAUUUUAAGGAAAUGAGUGCUAUACCAUGUAUUGUUUUAUUCUAUUUAGUAUUCCUCUCAAGUCACAUUCAAAUGGAUUGUUUUUCUAGGAAUUGUACUAUUUCAAACGCGACAUUUGAAUUUAGAGGAAGUAUUAUUAUAUUACUUAAUCUCCCUCACAAAUUCUUAUUGCAAUAAAAAUAAAAACACCAAAUUAAUUGGAGAUUCUAUCUUGGGGGCUUCAAAUAUUGUUGUUUGCUAAACAUUCUAUUAAAAUUAAUUGCUCCUAAAAAUAAAAGUAGAAAUAAAGGCAAAAGGCGAAUUACUUUCGAACCUUCGGACCUUAAGAAUAACCUUCCUGAGUAACAACCAAUUACUCUUUACUAGUUUUCUUAGAUGAAUAUUUUUCUUAUUCGUUCUGUAUAUGAUCGCAUCGUUGGAUCAUCGAUGACGUAAGUGAAAUACCAAAAACCUAACAUUCCAAGGUGUUGGUAGAUAUAAUAUAAUCUCAUUUUGAAGCUUGUGGUUUAAUUUCCACAUAUUGAUGUGGAUAGGUUAGGAAUCUUUGAAGGAAUAGAUAGCCAAUUUCUGGUCCUUAGACCAACUCUUUAUCUUCGGAACUUACACUGAACUCUUUGUUGGAACCUACCAGUUUAUAUUCUUCAUGUAAAUAUAUAGCAAAUCUUCUUUUUUUUUUUGGUUUUUUCCCCUGCUUUGAAGCUACUUUUAUUCUAUUUUGCUGGCAUGCAACUUCUGUUAGGUAAUAUCUCAACCAACCUCCAAGAGAACGACCGCCAUGUAAUGCGCGAAUCUUAAGGUAUAAUGGACGGUUGAUUAAACUGUUUUUCUCUAGGGAGGCUCCUUGGACAAUCUUGGUCAAAAGAGGAAUAAGUAUUGCUUUUGUGAUGCGCACUGUGUCCUAAUAAGGGGCAAGUUGAGAUAUUCUCAAUAGCGGAAUUUCAAUAGAACGGUUCAAUGCACAUCAUAUUUGAAUGUAGGUAGUUGAUUAAGUUAGGAUGAAGCUUUAAGUAAGAAAACAUGAUAUUGCCUGUUUUUAUCUGUUUAUUUUAACAUUGAGAGCGAAAGAUACACCAAAUCAGAACUAAAAUGAUAACAACAUGGUUCAUGAUAACGAGAACACAAUAUCCGCGCUAAGAUGAACCAAGCAGAAUUCGACCAUAACCGCGCCUACUGCUAUCCAUGAAGUGUUGGCUGUGUUUGGUUCUCCACCAUCCUUCCAAACACCGUAAGUCGACGAAUAUUCUCGCUUGGAAUUAAUUCGAACAGAGAUAGAAAUUUCGUAGCGCACGGUGAAAUUAUACUAUUGCUAUGGAAACUGGAGAAGGUUCUCAUAGUGCAGGGAUACAAGAUCUCUCAUUGUUCCUAAGAUGGAAAUUUCCAAACUGAAGAAUUUUGUCUAGAGCACAGAGUGUCUUUGAAGAAGCUGAUUAUGUUGAGUAAGUUGAGUUAGGUAGGAUUAUGUUUUGAGUUAGUUGAGUUAGGUAUUUAGUCCUCAUCCCUUGCAUGUCCUACUUCCAAUUUAUGCAGGGUUAAGCAUUCAAGCCAGCUAGCCAUCAUUGUCCUUCAGAUUUUACUUUGCAAAGAACAGCUUAUGUUAGACAAUGAAAGCAACAAGAUACCUCACCCCAUUACAGUACAAGUAUAAGAACCACUUUUAUCAAAGGGGGUUAUCCCUUUGGAUAGCUAGGUGGAUUGUCCUUGUCCCACUAAUUGUGUGCUUCUAAGAUUAAUCUAAUGAUAGACACAGCAUUUUGCAAGUAUAAUUGUUACCAAUCAUUUUAAAAUCUGUGCAGUCAGCUGAAUAGAAGUACAGUUUGAGCAGAGCUGAGGAAGCAAGUUUUUUUUAUUUUUUAUUUUUUUUGGUUACAAGUUAAGCUCAUUCCAGUUUUCUAUUAGAGCGAGAGCCUUGACAAUUUUGUCUGUCAAGCCAUCUAAUUACUGCAUCUGGGAUCAAAGAAGCUGAUCCAAAGUAAAGACCAAAUGAGCAUUAUGUGCAAUAAUUUGCCAAAUUAAUUCAUGAGAAAGUGUACAAUUAUAUCCUUAUUAAACUAGCUCACAGUGGGACAAAAAUUUUAUGGGCAUAGUGUCCAAACUAAUUAGUUUGAGGACUAUGCGGAUCGGCGCCACGUGGCCGAUCCGACGGCCACGGAUCUCAGUUGCUUUUUCUCUCUCUCUAAAAGCAUAGGAUUUUUUGUCUUUCCAUCUGUGGCCGUCGGAUUGGCCACGUGACGUUGAUCCGCAUAAUCCCCAAACUAUUAGUUUGGGGACUAUGCCCAUAAAAUUUUUGUCCCUCACAGUGCCCUUGGCCCGCAUGUUGGAGCAUGGGGUCUGGUCAUUUCUGAACAGAGGGCCCAGUAGGGCUCCUAAAAGCCUUCCGGGCUCUGGCCUAGCCCUUUUUAGGGCCAGCCCCAUGGGCCAGUGACCACUCCUAUCACAUUGGCACACCUAGCGGAGCAUAUACCAAACUUUUGUUAAAUAUAAAAAUAUUUAAACACCGUUUUCUAACAGCUUAAGCUUUUAGAGUACAACGGUUGUUUCACAUGAUAUCAAAGCAAGAGGUCCUGAGUUCAAAUCAUGCCAGGCCCCAACAUAAAAGUCUCGAACCCAGACGUGAGGGAGAGUGUUGAGUACAACGGUUGUUUCACAACUUUAAAGCACCACAACAUUAUUGAUAGUCGAUAGAGCACAACUUUAAAGCACCACAACAUUAUUGAUAGUCGAUAGAGCAAGAAUCGUAGCACAGAUGAAUAUAUAUAUAUAGAUUAACUUUAAUGUAUUUUAUAUUUGUCAUAACGAGUACAAGUUUGUUAAUAUCAUUUUCCAAAUAUUAAUUUUCUUUAGAGAUAGAGAUAGGUAGCAUGCCACCCGCUUCGUUUAUUUCAUUUAGAGAUAAACUUAGCUGUAAAUGUGAUUCAACUAGGAUUCGAAUUUGGGACAUCGGAUAUCAACUAGCAAGUCCUUUGCCACUUUGUGCUAGGGACGGUCGGUAUUUUCCAAAUAUUGUUGAUGUCCUAAGAUGCAUGAUGUGGUUGUGACUGCUUUUGAUUAAUUUAUGCACAAUAUAUUUUGCCAAUAUUUAGAGGGCCAAAAUAUUUUACAAAGAAACACUAUGCCCAUUAAUUCUAUUCGGGAUUGUUUGCUUGUCUAUAGUUGUAAUUGCAUGAAGGUGCACAUCUAACAUUUGCUGUGUUCGCUAGAAGAUUCAACUGCAGUAGGAGUCAGCCUUGGGUGCUUGUAAAAGCACUAAGUAUUUGGUAUUUGUAAAUUUUUUACCGUUAGAUUUAUCUCUUUAAUUAUUUUCAUCCAUUAGACCAUUUUAUUCAACCAAUAAUUCACUCAAUCCUAGAAAUCUUACAUCAUCCUAAUCGCAUAUCUCUUAAUCCAGUGGCCAAAAAUCUAUAAGCACCAAUAAUUUGAUAGUUUUAAGAGCAUUGGAGCGUAAUUUCUACAGUAGUUAGAACUAUAUCCAAACUCCAAAUUAAUCGUUGUUUUAAUUACAGCGAUCGGAUAAAGUAACGUUAAACAAAAGUAGCCUUACUUACCUAAUCACAUUUUGAACAGAAAUUGUUUUUUCUUACUGAGAGUAAUCUCACAUACCAUAUAUAAAACAACAAAAUUCUAUAAAUCCACUCUUCAACUGUAUAAAAUCAAAUAAAUUAUUAAUAAUUACAUUAUUUUUUACUACAUCAAUCCAAUCAAAUAAAAAUUAGAAAGUUGCCUCUAAUAUGCUCUCUAACGAUGUCUCAACCUCCGAUUUGCUAUCACAUGUCAGUUUGGCUCUAUCUAAAAAAUUAUAAUUUUUUUUUCUAAAAUUUAAAAUAUUUUUUAAAAAAAUUUAGUAUUAAAAAAAAUAUUGUAAUAAAUUUUUAGAUUAAAAAAAAUAAAAUUAUGAGGUGACAACAGAUGAGAGGCUUUCUUCAACAAAGUUUUAUCUCGUCGUACUACUACACAGCUGCCUUAGUUGUUUUCCACUUGCUGCUACAGUGGUCCCUUCGCCCCCCCCAAUAAUUAGAGGCCACCCAUUUCUACACCUCACCCACAUCAGCACCGUCCAUUAGCUGUCCCCUAAGGACCACAAAACUCCAAGAGGCCCCCAUCCGCCGACACGUGUACCCAACGGACGCCCUCGAUCGCUACCACACGUACAAAUCGAUAAUUUUUUGUUAGUUUAAAAGAGCUUUUUAAAUUAUAAACAUCUCCCCACCACCACGUGAUUCCGAUCCCCCGCGCACAUGGCCAAACCCCUCGUAUUCCCCACCCAGCUGGCUCCUGCUACACCCAGUGACGUCACACCCCACUAACACUCUCUAGAAACAUAUAGAUAUAAAUAUAUAUAUAUAUAUAUAAAAUAUUAUAAGAUAUUUUUUUAUUUUUUUUUAAAAAAAAUUUAUAGGUAACUGCAUUAUUUGAAGGUAAAGCUGGUUCACGUGGUUGGUGUUCCCGCGUCGAAUUUACGAAUUUACCCCUCGUUCAUUACACCCCACAUUGUACGCUGAAGCUGGCGAGAAAGAUAAAAUGCAAGGGGCAGGAUGGGAAUAGUGAAAAAAAAAAAGAAUGCACUAAAAAUAAAAAUAAUAAUAAUAAUAAUAUUACAAUGAACACAGAAGCACCACCACUCAGAGCGCGCGCGCUCUCUCUCUCUCUCUCUCUCUCUCUCAAACAUGUCUAAACAAGUAACGAAGCCAAAGCAAAGAUCAAACAACGAGGUGAAAAAACAAUACAAAAAAAUGAACAAAAAAAAAAGGAAGAAGAAGAUGAAGGGAAAUAAGGAAUCCGAUCUGAAUGAUAAUAAUCACAUAAUAAUGAGGGAACAAAGAAGCAAGCGACCGAUCAAUCACUAUCAGAUCCUCGGUGGGGGUCAGGAGCUAAGAAGGAGAGUGGCCGUACGAUCGAGAUCCGACGGCGAUCUAG
This 19412-nucleotide long non-coding RNA is filed under the name Ananas comosus (pineapple). Its description in RNAcentral is "long non-coding RNA (ACOM_LNC004272)". Lineage: Eukaryota; Viridiplantae; Streptophyta; Magnoliopsida; Poales; Bromeliaceae. The record is from RNAcentral.